CCUACGGGGGGCAGCAGUAGGGAAUAUUGCUCAAUGGGGGAAACCCUGAAGCAGCAACGCCGCGUGGAUGAUGAAGGUUUUCGGCUUGUAAACUCCUUUUGUUAGAGAAGAUAAUUACGGUAUCUAACGAAUAAGCACCGGCUAACUCCGUGCCAGCAGCUGCGGUAAUACGGAGGGCGCAAGCGUUACUCGGAAUCACUGGGCGUAAAGAGAGCGUAGGCGGGAUAGCAAGUCAGAUGUGAAAUCCUAUGGCUUAACCAUAGAACUGCAUUUGAAACUGUUAUUCUAGAGUAGGGGAGAGGUAGGUGGAAUUCUUGGUGUAGGGGUAAAAUCCGUAGAGAUCAAGAGGAAUACUCAUUGCGAAGGCGACCUGCUAGAACAUAACUGACGCUGAGGCGCGAAAGCGUGGGGAGCAAACAGGAUUAGAUACCCUUGUAGUC
This 440-nucleotide ribosomal RNA is filed under the name uncultured bacterium. RNAcentral's name for it is "partial 16S ribosomal RNA". It matches the Rfam family "Bacterial small subunit ribosomal RNA", at positions 338 to 795 of the family's 1533-position model. The record is from RNAcentral.